GACGAAGGAUGCAAGCGUUAUCCGGAUUCAUUGGGUUUAAAGGGAGCGUAGGUGGUCUUAUAAGUCAGUGGUGAAAUCUCUGGGCUUAACCCAGAAAUUGCCAUUGAUACUGUAGGACUUGAGUAUAGAUGCCGUUGGCGGAAUAUGACAUGUAGUGGUGAAAUACAUAGAGAUGUCAUAGAACACCGAUUGCGAAGGCAGCUGACGAAACUAUAACUGACACUGAGGCUCGAAAGUGCGGGGAUCAAACAGG
This 253-nucleotide ribosomal RNA is filed under the name uncultured bacterium. Its description in RNAcentral is "partial 16S ribosomal RNA". It matches the Rfam family "Bacterial small subunit ribosomal RNA", at positions 524 to 776 of the family's 1533-position model. The record is from RNAcentral.